AGGCAGCAGUGGGGAAUAUUGCACAAUGGGCGCAAGCCUGAUGCAGCCAUGCCGCGUGUAUGAAGAAGGCCUUCGGGUUGUAAAGUACUUUCAGCAGUGAGGAAGGCGGAGUCGUUAAUAGCGGCCUCGUUUGACGUUAGCUGCAGAAGAAGCACCGGCUAACUCCGUGCCAGCAGCCGCGGUAAUACGGAGGGUGCGAGCGUUAAUCGGAAUUACUGGGCGUAAAGCGCAUGCAGGUGGUUCGUUAAGUCAGAUGUGAAAGCCCGGGGCUCAACCUCGGAAUUGCAUUUGAAACUGGCAGACUAGAGUACUGUAGAGGGGGUAGAAUUUCAGGUGUAGCGGUGAAAUGCGUAGAGAUCUGAAGGAAUACCGGUGGCGAAGGCGGCCCCCUGGACAGAUACUGACACUCAGAUGCGAAAGCGUGGGGAGCAAACAGGAUUAGAUACCCUGGUAG
This 454-nucleotide ribosomal RNA is filed under the name uncultured bacterium. RNAcentral's name for it is "bacterial SSU rRNA". It matches the Rfam family "Bacterial small subunit ribosomal RNA", at positions 346 to 793 of the family's 1533-position model. The record is from RNAcentral.